Sesamum indicum (sesame) is the source of this 828-nucleotide long non-coding RNA. RefSeq lists it as uncharacterized. NCBI's taxonomy places the organism in Eukaryota, Viridiplantae, Streptophyta, Magnoliopsida, Lamiales, Pedaliaceae. The record is from RefSeq and is a predicted model, not a curated record.
AUAAAAAUUAUAAAAAAAUAUUAUGAUCAAAGAAGAUCAGGGAUGCCUUGGAGAGACUUGAGCGCCUCGAGUGCACCUCCUUAUCUUCUUCUUUGUCAUCUUCAAACGCCGUCGAUGUAUCAAGCCCCAGCGCGAUCUCUGGAAAAGGAAAAGGGAGCAAAUCAGUGAGGAGGCUGAGCCAGUUAGCCUUGCAUAGUCUGGAUAAACACCUUUGUCAAAACCAGAAGCAAAUGCUAGAAGCCCAAGAAAGGAUAGAAUUACUCUGGAAGAGCUGUAUGUCCUCUUACUGAGAUUUGAAACAAGCACUUCUUCAGUUUACUUAAGAUCAACUGAUCUUUCUCCCAUUUUCUUUUUGAGAGGCGUAAUCGUGCUGACAGAUGGAUUAAGUAUGCAGGCAUGGUUUUUACAAUAAUCAUCUUCAUUAUUAUCUGGAGGUGGCAAGACGACUGAUGCACCAUUUGGUACAACCUCAUUAUAACACAGUUUUUCCAUUAAUCUUGUGUUGCAGCGAGCUACCCAGUGUUCAUGAACAAAAAGAAUCUAGUUGAAACUUGAUUUCCUAGAUGUGUUCAUAUUUAUAGAUGGUCAGAAAAUGUUACAAUGAAACAAAAGUGGAAGUAGGAAGAACUGGUAACUGAAGGCAUACAUAGGUCCAAAUUGUGUGAGUUGAGUUGUAAGUAGCAUGAUAUAGGCCGAUUGAUGAGUAGCAUUCUUUCACCUUGACUUGCUGUACUUUCCAUGCAUGGCUGAUCUCAUUGUACAAGUUUUCAUGAAUUCAUUUUCUUCAAGUAUUAUGUUUUGUUGAAAAGUUCCAAAGCACCAUGUAAA